UACGUAGGGCGCAAGCGUUGUCCGGAAUUAUUGGGCGUAAAGAGCUCGUAGGUGGCUUGUUGCGUCUGCCGUGAAAGCCCGUGGCUUAACUACGGGUCUGCGGUGGAUACGGGCAGGCUAGAGGCUGGUAGGGGCAAGCGGAAUUCCUGGUGUAGCGGUGAAAUGCGCAGAUAUCAGGAGGAACACCGGUGGCGAAGGCGGCUUGCUGGGCAGUUGCUGACACUGAGGCGCGACAGCGUGGGGAGCAAACAGG
This 253-nucleotide ribosomal RNA is filed under the name uncultured bacterium. RNAcentral describes it as "partial 16S ribosomal RNA". It matches the Rfam family "Bacterial small subunit ribosomal RNA", at positions 524 to 776 of the family's 1533-position model. The record is from RNAcentral.